UAAGCAGGUUUUUAUUCUUUAAACUACAUACAGAUCACAAAAAACUUAACUGUAUCCCCUCAUAUAUAUCGGAUUUUAAUCAGAUAUCGGGAGAACUGCCACACAGGGUUUAAUAUCAAGAGAGUAAAUUAUGGACACUUUUCAGAAUAUGGACUUCAUGGACAGAGAUGAAGAUGAAAAGUCAAACAACAAAACAAGAGCCAGGGCUAUUAACACUCUCAAGCCUGUGGUGGCCAUUAUUUGUGUGGUAGUAGGAAUAUCAGCAGUGGUGGUGCUGGCAGUAAUAUAUAGUAGUCCUUCUGACGAAGGU
Long non-coding RNA from Saccostrea cuccullata (small rock oyster), 310 nucleotides. RefSeq lists it as uncharacterized. The record is from RefSeq and is a predicted model, not a curated record. Lineage: Eukaryota; Metazoa; Mollusca; Bivalvia; Ostreida; Ostreidae. The transcript is spliced from 4 exons.